Molecule: ribosomal RNA, 594 nt
Filed under: Saccharomyces cerevisiae (brewer's yeast)
Lineage: Eukaryota; Fungi; Ascomycota; Saccharomycetes; Saccharomycetales; Saccharomycetaceae
Description: eukaryotic LSU rRNA
Rfam family: Eukaryotic large subunit ribosomal RNA
Source: RNAcentral
GAAUUUCCCCACGGGGAAUUGCCUUAGUACGGCGAGUGAGCGGCAAAAGCUCAAAUUUGAAAUCUGGUACCUUCGGUGCCGAGAAGGGGUUUGGAGAGGGCAACUUUGGGGCCGUUCCUUGUUACGUUCCUUGGAACAGGACGUCAUAGAGGGUGAGAAUCCCGUGUGGCGAGGAGUGCGGUUCUUUGUAAAGUGCCUUCGAAGAGUCGAGUUGUUUGGGAAUGCAGCUCUAAGUGGGUGGUAAAUUCCAUCUAAAGCUAAAUAUUGGCGAGAGACCGAUAGCGAACAAGUACAGUGAUGGAAAGAUGAAAAGAACUUUGAAAAGAGAGUGAAAAAGUACGUGAAAUUGUUGAAAGGGAAGGGCAUUUGAUCAGACAUGGUGUUUUGUGCCCUCUGCUCCUUGUGGGUAGGGGAAUCUCGCAUUUCACUGGGCCAGCAUCAUUUUUGGUGGCAGGAUAAAUCCAUAGGAAUGUAGCUUGCCUCGGUAAGUAUUAUAGCCUGUGGGAAUACUGCCAGCUGGGACUGAGGACUGCGACGUAAGUCAAGGAUGCUGGCAUAAUGGUUAUAUGCCGCCCGUCUUGAAACACGGACCAA